UGGACUACAGGGGUAUCUAAUCCUGUUUGCUCCCCACGCUUUCGUGCAUGAGCGUCAGUGUUAACCCAGGGGGCUGCCUUCGCCAUCGGUAUUCCUCCACAUAUCUACGCAUUUCACUGCUACACGUGGAAUUCUACCCCCCUCUGCUACACUCUAGUCUUCCAGUUCCAAAUGCAGUUCCCAGGUUAAGCCCGGGGAUUUCACAUCUGGCUUAAAAAACCGCCUGCGCACGCUUUACGCCCAGUAAUUCCGAUUAACGCUCGCACCCUACGUAUUACCGCGGCGGCUGGCACGC
Molecule: unclassified non-coding RNA, 295 nt
Filed under: uncultured fungus
Lineage: Eukaryota; Fungi
Description: sequence contains ITS1
Source: RNAcentral